GGGUCGUUGGUUCAGUGGCUAGAACGCGUCUCUGAUAAAGACGAGGUCGAUGGUUCGAUUCCAUCACGACCCA
RNAcentral lists this transfer RNA (73 nucleotides) under Patescibacteria group bacterium. RNAcentral's name for it is "tRNA-Ile". It matches the Rfam family "tRNA". Rfam says of the family: Transfer RNA (tRNA) molecules are approximately 80 nucleotides in length. Their secondary structure includes four short double-helical elements and three loops (D, anti-codon, and T loops). Further hydrogen bonds mediate the characteristic L-shaped molecular structure. tRNAs have two regions of fundamental functional importance: the anti-codon, which is responsible for specific mRNA codon recognition, and the 3' end, to which the tRNAs corresponding amino acid is attached (by aminoacyl-tRNA synthetases). tRNAs cope with the degeneracy of the genetic code in two manners: having more than one tRNA (with a specific anti-codon) for a particular amino acid; and 'wobble' base-pairing, i.e. permitting non-standard base-pairing at the 3rd anti-codon position. RNAcentral also lists the same sequence under 1 other name. The record is from RNAcentral.